Molecule: ribosomal RNA, 497 nt
Filed under: uncultured bacterium
Lineage: Bacteria
Description: partial 16S ribosomal RNA
Rfam family: Bacterial small subunit ribosomal RNA
Source: RNAcentral
GAUGAACGCUGGCGGCGUGCCUAAUACAUGCAAGUCGAGCGAACAGACGAGGAGCUUGCUCCUCUGACGUUAGCGGCGGACGGGUGAGUAACACGUGGAUAACCUACCUAUAAGACUGGGAUAACUUCGGGAAACCGGAGCUAAUACCGGAUAAUAUAUUGAACCGCAUGGUUCAAUAGUGAAAGACGGUUUUGCUGUCACUUAUAGAUGGAUCCGCGCCGCAUUAGCUAGUUGGUAAGGUAACGGCUUACCAAGGCAACGAUGCGUAGCCGACCUGAGAGGGUGAUCGGCCACACUGGACCUGAGACACGGUCCAGACUCCUACGGGAGGCAGCAGUAGGGAAUCUUCCGCAAUGGGCGAAAGCCUGACGGAGCAACGCAGCGUGAGUGAUGAAGGUCUUCGGAUCGUAAAACUCUGUUAUUAGGGAAGAACAAAUGUGUAAGUAACUAUGCACGUCUUGACGGUACCUAAUCAGAAAGCCACGGCUAACUACGUG